This is a long non-coding RNA of Octopus bimaculoides (California two-spot octopus), 2835 nucleotides long. RefSeq lists it as uncharacterized. The record is from RefSeq and is a predicted model, not a curated record. Lineage: Eukaryota; Metazoa; Mollusca; Cephalopoda; Octopoda; Octopodidae.
AGGAAGAAGAAGAAAAAAAAAAUCAGUAUUUAAAAUUAGUAAAAAUUUGGCAAAGAGAGCUGAGGUCUGAUGGUGCAGGCAGAACCUUUCAUCAAAUGCAAGCCCUGACUGUAAAUUCAGAACUUGUCUAUAUCUGCUCCAGUUUAUCUAAUAAUUAGUGACAAAAGAAUAAAGGGAAAAAAAAAUUAACUUGAAUGAUUAAUAGUAAGAAGUUAAGUGCCAUUAGUAGGGUUCAACUCCUGCAAAUAUUCAAACCAGUUCACACUUGGAAACUACUUGAACCAUGGGCAUCAGCUGCAUCAGUACCAUGAGUCUCAGUGAGUCUGCAAAGAUCAUGGGUACUGCAUCUUCUCUCUUUUAAUUUAUAAAAAGACUUGAGAUGAAAAUUAUUGAAGAUCUAAAAUGUAAAUAAAUUUCUAAUUUAUAACAAAACAGUUAUUUUCUUUGACUAUCUAUGUUUUAUAAUUUCAUUUAUACCUGUAUUUAUUUAGCACAUUUCAAGCCUAAUUAUUUUGCUAAAUUAUCAAAUAUUUACAUUUAAUCAUUAUCAGUAAUCUAUCUAGCUAAAAAAUAGGCACCAUUCCUGCUUCCCAUAUGAGUGGGUUGUUCAACUGAUAAGCCCCAAUUUUUUUAAUACUCCACAGAAAUGUUAAUUUGAGCACUUAUCAACCUAUGCAUGCCUGAACAAAAACAAAAUGGGUUCAAUAAUGCUGAAAGAUAAAAGAACAGACUAUAAUCACUUACAGAGACAUUAUAAAUUUACACACUACUGAAGUUCAUGUUUUAUUUUCCAGCCUACAGCUUGUAUUAUACAAACAUACAAAAGUGCAGUUGUAUAAUGUUUAAGUAUGUCAAAGUGGCAGCUGUUGGACAGAGUAUUCAGCCAUGACAGUUCUAUUCCAAAUGUAAAUGUCCUCAUACACCAAAUCUUAUUGUAGCUGUUGGUCAAUUGAUUCUGAUCUAUGCUUUGCUAUACACAUUCGGGCAUUAACUUGCUUACAUUAUUUACAUUAUCUACAUUUGACGGAUAUUCGUCCUCAUCUUGUUUGUUGUUGAAUAUCCGUCAAAUGUAGAUAAUGUAAAUAAUGUAAAUAAUUCCUCAUCUCUUAAAUAUAGAACUGUAUUAACUUGCUUAGUAGACUAAUCUACAUCAUACCAGUAUGGUGGAAUAAAUGCUUAAAUGCUGCAAAACACCCCUUUUUUAUGUGGAUACUAAAUUUCAGAUUCAUAACAAACCUCUUCACUCCAAGAAUUCUUUGAUGUAUUUUUAACCUGUAGCAGUCUCUACGUAAUUCUUAUUUAUUCUCUCCAUAUGUACAUAGUAUUGGAACUGUCAUUAUUUACUGUUUUUUUCUUUUUCCAGAAAAAUAUGUAAUGAUAAUUACCUAAUGUGCUUAUUAUUACCACUGUUACUUUUCCAAAGACUUUGGUUCUGGAUUCAUAGCUAAAACUUCUUUUGAGCCCCGACUCUUCCAGCAUUUUAACUGCAGUUAGGCCUUGAGAGUUUUUUUUAUUUCCCAAAUAUAACAGCACAGCUAUUAUCAACAGUGAAAUGAUAAAUUAUAAGCUAUAUGACAGACUAGUGUCCAUUCAAGGGCAAUGUUGUGAUCUCAGUCACUUAUAUGCUAUGGAAACUGGGUAACUGGCCUGAGCAGUCUUAGGGUUCAAAACAGAAGAAAAAAAACUGUAAAGCAAAGCAGGAGGUUCCAUUGUCUGGUGGAAGUGCAACUGACAAAGAAUGAAUGUGAUUUUGCUUUAACUUCAUCACCUCAAAGACUGAAUAUACCACAGAAAAUAUCCAAAGUAGACACAAGGCAGCUAGAGAAGCUCCAUGGAGAUACUCAACUAAAUGUAUGAGUACCCACACCAAGAAACUCAACAGUCUUUGAAAUGAAGCACUUCAUACUUUUAGCUCAAAUUCUAAAAGCCAAUAAAUGUGCCUGUACAUGACAACUUGGCCUGCUAGAUAUAACAGGUUAAAAGACAUAUAGGUUAUUGCAGUUCUAGACAUUACAUCUGAAUAAAGAAUGAUGGUUGUAGCUGGAACACCUUUGAUUAACCUGCGAGAAACAGCAACCAAAUUUCUCUCAAAUCCUAUUCUACCAUCUUAGAAAAGAUAGAUUGAAUAAUGUAAGUCUACUCAGUCAGGAUUGGCAUAAAGUUAAACAACAACAGCAAAACUCCUUAAAGCACCAAGAACACUUCUAUAUGGUCACACAACUUGCUAGAAAUAGCCACUCAAUCUCUCUCAGACAAACUGACUGUCUUUAAAAAAUGCAGUCACAUUAAAUAAUGUAGGUCUAGAUACAUUAUAUCUGAAUAAAUUAAGGGUUAGUCACAGCUAGAACAUUUUUGAAUCAUAGAUCUACAGGAUCAGGACAUAAGGGUUAACAUAAGGCUAAAAAACAUCUACAACACUAAAAUAGAAAAGUGGAUUUUAUAUUAAUCCUGUUGUGAAACUCCACAGUCCAUUCUCUACUCUGGUUUCUGUAGAUCAUCCAGAGAAUUAAAAAAUCUAAACUACUAAAUAAAUAUGCAAGUUAUAUCAGGUGCUGAUAUUUUAAAUUGUAGAGAACUGUAAUAUAAAUAGCAGAACUAUAUCCUUGUUUGUCAAACUUAGGGAGGUGAAAUAUUUAUAAUUACCACUAAACAGAUGUGACCAAAUUAUAGGUGGAAAAUGAAGAACAUAUGGCUUAUUUGGGAUUUGUUCAAGGUUAUUUUGCUUUUGUUUUCUUUGAAUUAUUAUUUUUUUUUUGCUUCUUUUAUACACAACCUCAUACAUGUCUAUACAGACACACAUGUAUGUAAAUAUACUCAUACAUAUAUAUAAACUCA